AAAACAAACAACAAAACAAACAACAAAACAAACAAACAAACAGAAAACAAAUAAACAAAAAAUAAAAACAAGAGUGCACACGCUGAAAUGUCUCGCCUUCUAUACUAAUCAUUGAUAUUAUGUUGAUAGUCCUAAGUAUAAAGCUAAGCUUUAUUACAACUGUCACAUAAACUUAACAUUAACCAAAAUAACUAAACAAAGACCAAUGAACCUUGAAAAUGAGGUCAAGGUCAGAUGAACCAUGUCAGGCAGACAUGUACAGCUAACAAUGCUUCUAUACAACAUAUAUAGUUGACCCAUUACUUAUAGUUUAAGAAAAAUAGUCCAAAACACAAAAACUUAACACUGUGCAAUGAACCCUGAAAAUGAGGUCAAGGUCAAAUAAAACCUGGUUGACUGACAUAAAGAUCAUAAAAUAUUCUAUACACCAAAUAUAGUUGACCUAUGGCAUAUAGUAUUAGAUAAAAAGACCAAAACUCAAAAACUGAACUUUGACCACUGAACCAUGAAAAUGAGGUCAAGGUCACAUGACAUCUGCCCGCUAGACAUGUACACCUUACAAUCAUUCCAUACAACAAAUAUAGUAGACCUAUUGCAUAUAGUAUGAGAAAAACAGACCAAAACACAAAAAUUCAACUAUAACCACUGAACCAUGAAAAUGAGGUCAAGGUCAGAUGACACCUGCCAGUUGGACAUGUACACCUUACAGUCCUUCUAUACACCGAAUAUACUAGCCCUAUUGCUUAUAGUAUCUGAGAUAUGGACUUGACCACCAAAACUUAACCUUGUUCACUGAUCCAUGAAAUGAGGUCGAGGUCAAGUGAAAACUGUCUGACAGACAUAAGGACCUUGCAAGGUACGCACAUAUCAAAUAUAGUUAUCCUAUUGCUUAUAAUAAGAGAGAAUUCAACAUUACAAAAAAAUUGAACUUUUUUUCCAAGUGGUCACUGAACCAUGAAAAUGAGGUCAAGGACAUUGGACAUGUGACUGACGGAAACUUCGUAACAUGAAGCAUCUAUAUACAAAGUAUGAAGCAUCCAGGUCUUCCACCUUCUAAAAUAUAAAGCUUUUAAGAAGUGAGCUAACACCGCCGCCGUAGCCGCCGUAGCCGCCGCCGCCGCCGGAUCACUAUCCCUAUGUCGAGCUUUCUGCAACAAAAGUUGCAGGCUCGACAAAAAAC
This 1180-nucleotide long non-coding RNA is filed under the name Mytilus galloprovincialis (Mediterranean mussel). The record is from RNAcentral. Lineage: Eukaryota; Metazoa; Mollusca; Bivalvia; Mytilida; Mytilidae.